This 441-nucleotide ribosomal RNA is filed under the name uncultured bacterium. Its description in RNAcentral is "partial 16S ribosomal RNA". It matches the Rfam family "Bacterial small subunit ribosomal RNA", at positions 338 to 795 of the family's 1533-position model. The record is from RNAcentral.
CCUACGGGAGGCAGCAGUGGGGGAUAUUGCACAAUGGGGGGAACCCUGAUGCAGCGACGCCGCGUGGGUGAAGGAGCGUUUCGGCGCGUAAAGCCCUAUCGGCAGGGAAGAAGGAGGACGGUACCUGACUAAGAAGCCCCGGCUAACUAGGUGCCAGCAGCCGCGGUACUACGGAGGGGGCAAGCGUUAUCCGGAUUUACUGGGUGUAAGGGGGGCGCAGACGGCAGCGCAAGCCAGGAGUGAAAGCCCGGGGCCCAACCCCGGGACUGCUCUUGGAACUGCGCGGCUGGAGUGCAGGAGGGGCAGGCGGAAUUCCUGGUGUAGCGGUGAAAUGCGUAGAGAUCAGGAGGAACACCGGUGGCGAAGGCGGCCUGCUGGACUGCGACUGACGUUGAGGCCCGAAAGCGUGGGGAGCAAACAGGAUUAGAUACCCCAGUAGUC